UGGGGAAUUUUGGACAAUGGGGGAAACCCUGAUCCAGCCAUCCCGCGUGUGCGAUGAAGGCCUUCGGGUUGUAAAGCACUUUUGGCAGGAAAGAAACGUCAUGGGUUAAUACCCCGUGAAACUGACGGUACCUGCAGAAUAAGCACCGGCUAACUACGUGCCAGCAGCCGCUGUAAUACGUAGGGUGCAAGCGUUAAUCGGAAUUACUGGGCGUAAAGCGUGCGCAGGCGGUUCGGAAAGAAAGAUGUGAAAUCCCAGAGCUCAACUUUGGAACUGCAUUUUUAACUACCGGGCUAGAGUGUGUCAGAGGGAGGUGGAAUUCCGCGUGUAGCAGUGAAAUGCGUAGAUAUGCGGAGGAACACCGAUGGCGAAGGCAGCCUCCUGGGAUAACACUGACGCUCAUGCACGAAAGCGUGGGGAGCAAACAGG
This 429-nucleotide ribosomal RNA is filed under the name Acidobacteriota bacterium. RNAcentral describes it as "Acidobacteria bacterium partial 16S ribosomal RNA". It matches the Rfam family "Bacterial small subunit ribosomal RNA", at positions 355 to 776 of the family's 1533-position model. The record is from RNAcentral. Lineage: Bacteria; Pseudomonadati; Acidobacteriota.